RNAcentral lists this long non-coding RNA (790 nucleotides) under Homo sapiens (human). RNAcentral's name for it is "HSALNT0090340". Lineage: Eukaryota; Metazoa; Chordata; Mammalia; Primates; Hominidae. The record is from RNAcentral.
UUCUGUAUUGAGAAAUCAUAAUUUAGGAAUUGAUAGAUUAUCAUAUAUUCACUCCAUCUACCAAUAACUCUGUGAGAGUCAUUUAUUGACCUUGGACUUGGCCAUGUGGCUUGCUUAAGAAUGGAAUGUGGAGAGAUAGCAGUGUACCACCAGUCUUGCCUUUAGAAGCACCGUGUUUCUGUUCUCAGGAACAUCUGACCUCUGCCAUGAGGUCAAGUAGCUGCCUAUUAGCAUCUGGGUACCAGACUGAAUUCACGUAUUGCAGAGGCAUCUCAGCCAGCCGGAGGACUCACAGCCUGAAGCAGAGCAACCCAGCAGACAUGAAGACUCUUGAGUGAGACAUAACUACUUAUUGUUGUGUGCCACUGUGAUUUUGGGGGUUGUCUGUUAUGCAGCAAUAGCUGACAGUUACAUGAGUGAACUGUAUUAAUAUUUGGGAAGUUUAUUAAAUUACUGGAAAUAAAGUUUGCAUUUAGGCUGGGUUGUAUUAUUUUGGGUAAAAAGUGGUGACUAAAGUGGUGAUAUUGAAUUAUGUGUAUGGUUGUAUACUUGGUUUCUUAUAAACUAAAGAAACUUAGGCCAGGCGCAGUGGCUCAUGCCUAUAAUCCCAGCACUUUGGGAGGCUGAGGUUAGGUAAAUUGCUUGAGCUCAGGAGUUCAAGACCAGCCUGAGCAACAUGGUGAAACCCUCUCUCUACCAAAAAUACAAGAAUUAGUUGGGCGUGGUGGUGUGUCCCUGUGGUCCCAGCUACUCAGGAGGCUGAGGCAGGAGGAUCACUUGAGCCAAAAAG